UAUUGCUGAUUACCCCGCCAUAGCAAACUCCGAAUACCGAAGAGUGCAAUCACGGGAGACAGACAUCGGGUGCUAACGUCCGGUGUCAAGAGGGAAACAACCCAGACCGCCAGCUAAGGUCCCCAAAUAUGGCUAAGUGGGAAACGAAGUGGGAAGGCUAAAACAGUCAGGAGGUUGGCUUAGAAGCAGCCACCCUUUAAAGAAAGCGUAAUAGCUCACUGAUCGAGUCGUCCUGCGCGGAAGAUGUAACGGGGCUAAGCCAUAUACCGAAGCUGCGGACGCGUGCGUUCCUUUAAGUGCACCAAGCUUGUCGAUGCGCAGCAUCGACAAAGCCACCAACAAUGAUCGAUGGUGGUUGUGCUAGUGGAUUUAAAGGAGCGCACGCGUGGUAGGAGAGCGUUCUGUAAGCCUGUGAAGGUGUCUUGUAAAGGAUGCUGGAGGUAUCAGAAGUGCGAAUGCUGACAUGAGUAGCGAUAAAGGGGGUGAAAGGCCCCCUCGCCGUAAGCCCAAGGUUUCCUACGCAACGUUCAUCGGCGUAGGGUGAGUCGGCCCCUAAGGCGAGGCAGAGAUGCGUAGCUGAUGGGAAGCAGGUUAAUAUUCCUGCACCGUCGUAUGAUGCGAUGGGGGGACGGAUCGCGGAAGGUUGUCCGGGUGUUGGAAGUCCCGGUCCCUGCAUUGGAGAAGGCGCUUAGGCAAAUCCGGGCGCGGAAUUCAAGGAUGUGGGGCGAGCGGCCUAGUGCUGCGAAGCAAUUGGAAGUGGUUCCAAGAAAAGCCUCUAAGCUUCAGUCAUACGAGACCGUACCGCAAACCGACACAGGUGGGCGAGAUGAGUAUUCUAAGGCGCUUGAGAGAACUCGGGAGAAGGAACUCGGCAAAUUGGUACCGUAACUUCGGGAUAAGGUACGCCCUGGUAGCUUGACUGGCCUGCGCCAGAAGGGUGAAGGGGUUGCAAUAAAAUGGUGGCUGCGACUGUUUAAUAAAAACACAGCACUCUGCAAACACGAAAGUGGACGUAUAGGGUGUGACGCCUGCCCGGUGCCGGAAGAUUAAAUGAUGGGGUGCAAGCUCUUGAUUGAAGUCCCGGUAAACGGCGGCCGUAACUAUAACGGUCCUAAGGUAGCGAAAUUCCUUGUCGGGUAAGUUCCGACCUGCACGAAUGGCGUAACGAUGGCCACACUGUCUCCUCCCGAGACUCAGCGAAGUUGAAGUGUUUGUGAUGAUGCAAUCUCCCCGCGGCUAGACGGAAAGACCCCAUGAACCUUUACUGUAGCUUUGCAUUGGACUUUGAACCGAUCUGUGUAGGAUAGGUGGGAGGCUUUGAAGCGUGGACGCCAGUUCACGUGGAGCCGUCCUUGAAAUACCACCCUGGUUUGUUUGAGGUUCUAACCUUGGCCCGUGAAUCCGGGUCGGGGACAGUGCAUGGUAGGCAGUUUGACUGGGGCGGUCUCCUCCCAAAGUGUAACGGAGGAGUUCGAAGGUACGCUUGGUACGGUCGGACAUCGUACCUAAAGUGCAAUGGCAAAAGCGUGCUUAACUGCGAGACCGACAAGUCGAGCAGGUGCGAAAGCAGGACAUAGUGAUCCGGUGGUUCUGAAUGGAAGGGCCAUCGCUCAACGGAUAAAAGGUACUCUGGGGAUAACAGGCUGAUACCGCCCAAGAGUUCAUAUCGACGGCGGUGUUUGGCACCUCGAUGUCGGCUCAUCUCAUCCUGGGGCUGUAGCCGGUCCCAAGGGUAUGGCUGUUCGCCAUUUAAAGAGGUACGUGAGCUGGGUUUAAAACGUCGUGAGACAGUUUGGUCCCUAUCUGCCGUGGGCGUUGGAAUCUUGACGGGGGCUGCUCCUAGUACGAGAGGACCGGAGUGGACGUACCGCUGGUGUACCUGUUGUCUCGCCAGAGGCAUCGCAGGGUAGCUAUGUACGGAAGAGAUAACCGCUGAAAGCAUCUAAGCGGGAAACUCGCCUGAAGAUGAGGAUUCCCUGGAGGCUUGACCUCCUUGAAGGGUCGUUCGAGACCAGGACGUUGAUAGGCUGGGUGUGGAAGCGCAGUAAUGCGUUAAGCUAACCAGUACUAAUUGCCCGUAAGGCUUGAUCCU
RNAcentral lists this ribosomal RNA (2092 nucleotides) under Cupriavidus taiwanensis. RNAcentral's name for it is "bacterial LSU rRNA". It matches the Rfam family "Bacterial large subunit ribosomal RNA", at positions 927 to 2925 of the family's 2925-position model. Lineage: Bacteria; Pseudomonadati; Pseudomonadota; Betaproteobacteria; Burkholderiales; Burkholderiaceae. The record is from RNAcentral.